GGUAGUCCACGCUGUAAACGUUGGGCGCUAGGUGUGGGGGGCCUCUCCGGUUUCCUGUGCCGUAGCUAACGCAUUAAGCGCCCCGCCUGGGGAGUACGGCCGCAAGGCUAAAACUCAAAGGAAUUGACGGGGGCCCGCACAAGCGGCGGAGCAUGCGGAUUAAUUCGAUGCAACGCGAAGAACCUUACCUGGGUUUGACAUCAUCGGUAAUCCGGGCAGAGAUGUCGGGGUCCUUCGGGGGCCGGUGACAGGUGGUGCAUGGCUGUCGUCAGGCUCGUGUCGUGAGAUGUUGGGUUAAG
RNAcentral lists this ribosomal RNA (299 nucleotides) under uncultured bacterium. Its description in RNAcentral is "partial 16S ribosomal RNA". It matches the Rfam family "Bacterial small subunit ribosomal RNA", at positions 789 to 1084 of the family's 1533-position model. The record is from RNAcentral.